RNAcentral lists this ribosomal RNA (327 nucleotides) under uncultured bacterium. RNAcentral's name for it is "bacterial SSU rRNA". It matches the Rfam family "Bacterial small subunit ribosomal RNA", at positions 28 to 357 of the family's 1533-position model. The record is from RNAcentral.
GAUGAACGCUAGCGGGAGGCUUAAUACAUGCAAGUCGAGCGGGAUUCUCCUUUCGGGAGAUGAGAGCGGCGCACGGGUGAGUAACGCGUACGUAACCUGCCUUACAGAGGGGAAUAGCCCUGGGAAACUGGGAUUAAUACUCCCAUAGUAUAUAGAUGGCGCAUGCUGUUUAUAUUAAAGUUGAGGCGCUGUAAGAUGGGCGUGCGUGCUAUUAGCUAGUUGGUGAGGUAACGGCUCACCAAGGCUACGAUAGCUAGGGGCGUGAGAGCGUGGCCCCCCCAACGGGUACUGAGACACGGACCCGACUCCUACGGGAGGCAGCAGUAA